GUGUCAGCAGCCGCGGUAAUACGUAGGUGGCAAGCGUUGUCCGGAUUUACUGGGCGUAAAGCGCCCGCAGGCGGCUCGGCAAGUUUCAGGUGAAAUCUCCCGGCUCAACCGGGAGCGGUCUUGGAAAACUGCCGGGCUUGAGGCAGGGAGAGGGAUGCGGAAUUCCGUGUGUAGCGGUGAAAUGCGUAGAUAUACGGAGGAACACCAGUGGCGAAGGCGGCAUCCUGGCCCUGACCUGACGCGGAGGGGCGAAAGCGUGGGGAGCAAACCGGACUAGAUACCCGGGUAGUCCACGCUGUAAACGAUGAGUACUAGGUGUUGGGGGUAUCGACCCCCUCAGUGCCGAAGCUAACGCAAUAAGUACUCCGCCUGGGGACUACGGCCGCAAGGCUAAAACUCAAAUGAAUUGACGGGG
This 415-nucleotide ribosomal RNA is filed under the name uncultured prokaryote. RNAcentral's name for it is "bacterial SSU rRNA". It matches the Rfam family "Bacterial small subunit ribosomal RNA", at positions 505 to 918 of the family's 1533-position model. The record is from RNAcentral.